AUGAGAUCAACAUACAAUUUUAUGGGCCAAAUGACAAAAAAUAAUAGGGGGAAGAUAAGUCUGUUCAUCAAUCUAACUAUCUCAGAAUACUGGACAACAAUACAAAUAAAAAUAAUUGACUUCUAAUGAAUAAUACAUAAGUUGUUUUAAUACUCUGUUCUUAUUAGAAAGGAUCGUUUCUUCUUAAUCAUUGGGCGUCGCUUUUCUUUUGUCUAAAAUUCAUAAACCGGCUACCGUUUGCAUUGUAUGGACCCCUAUAGAUAACUCAAUGCUAAAAAUUCGUGCUUUUUGAAAA
This 295-nucleotide unclassified non-coding RNA is filed under the name Hevea brasiliensis (rubber tree). The record is from RNAcentral. Lineage: Eukaryota; Viridiplantae; Streptophyta; Magnoliopsida; Malpighiales; Euphorbiaceae.